GUCAGGAUGGCCGAGUGGUCUAAGGCGCCAGACUCAAGACGUCAGUCUUCUCCAGUGAUGGGGAUUCUGGUCUCCGAAUGGAGGCGUGGGUUCAAAUCCCACUUCUGACA
Molecule: transfer RNA, 110 nt
Filed under: Xenopus laevis (African clawed frog)
Lineage: Eukaryota; Metazoa; Chordata; Amphibia; Anura; Pipidae
Rfam family: tRNA
About the family: Transfer RNA (tRNA) molecules are approximately 80 nucleotides in length.
Source: Rfam by way of RNAcentral